GGGCCCGUAGCUCAGUUGGUUAGAGCAGUCGACUCAUAAUCGAUUGGUCGCAAGUUCAAGUCUUGCCGGGCCCA
Molecule: transfer RNA, 74 nt
Filed under: Gracilimonas sp.
Lineage: Bacteria; Pseudomonadati; Balneolota; Balneolia; Balneolales; Balneolaceae
Also listed under: 4 other names
Description: tRNA-Ile
Rfam family: tRNA
About the family: Transfer RNA (tRNA) molecules are approximately 80 nucleotides in length. Their secondary structure includes four short double-helical elements and three loops (D, anti-codon, and T loops). Further hydrogen bonds mediate the characteristic L-shaped molecular structure. tRNAs have two regions of fundamental functional importance: the anti-codon, which is responsible for specific mRNA codon recognition, and the 3' end, to which the tRNAs corresponding amino acid is attached (by aminoacyl-tRNA synthetases). tRNAs cope with the degeneracy of the genetic code in two manners: having more than one tRNA (with a specific anti-codon) for a particular amino acid; and 'wobble' base-pairing, i.e. permitting non-standard base-pairing at the 3rd anti-codon position.
Source: RNAcentral